RNAcentral lists this ribosomal RNA (253 nucleotides) under uncultured bacterium. RNAcentral's name for it is "partial 16S ribosomal RNA". It matches the Rfam family "Bacterial small subunit ribosomal RNA", at positions 524 to 776 of the family's 1533-position model. The record is from RNAcentral.
UACGUAGGGUGCAAGCGUUGUCCGGAAUUAUUGGGCGUAAAGAGCUCGUAGGCGGCCUGAUAAGUAGGGGGUGAAAUCCUGCGGCUUAACCGCAGGGCUGCCUUCUAAACUGUCAGGCUAGAGCACAGUAGAGGCAGGUGGAAUUCCCGGUGUAGCGGUGGAAUGCGUAGAGAUCGGGAAGAACAUCAGUGGCGAAGGCGGCCUGCUGGGCUGUUGCUGACGCUGAGGCGCGACAGCGUGGGGAGCAAACAGG